This 253-nucleotide ribosomal RNA is filed under the name uncultured bacterium. RNAcentral's name for it is "partial 16S ribosomal RNA". It matches the Rfam family "Bacterial small subunit ribosomal RNA", at positions 524 to 776 of the family's 1533-position model. The record is from RNAcentral.
UACGUAGGGGGAGAGCGUUGUCCGGAAUUAUUGGGCGUAAAGAGCGUGUAGGCGGUUCGGUAAGUCUGCCGUGAAAUCCUGGGGCUCAACCCCGGGCGUGCGGUGGAUACUGCCGGGCUAGAGUGCGGAAGAGGCGAGUGGAAUUCCUGGUGUAGCGGUGAAAUGCGCAGAUAUCAGGAGGAACACCUAUUGCGAAGGCAGCUCGCUGGGACGUACCUGACGCUGAGACGCGAAAGCGUGGGGAGCAAACAGG